RNAcentral lists this small RNA (285 nucleotides) under Nomascus leucogenys (northern white-cheeked gibbon). Its description in RNAcentral is "Metazoan signal recognition particle RNA (ENSNLEG00000030354.1)". Lineage: Eukaryota; Metazoa; Chordata; Mammalia; Primates; Hylobatidae. The record is from RNAcentral.
GCUGGGCGUGGUGGCUCAUGCCUGUAAUCCCAGCACUUUGGGAGGCUGAGGCAGGAGGAUCGCUUGAGGUCAGGAGUUCGAGACCAGCCUGGCCAACAUGGUGAAACUCAUCUCUACUACAAAUACAAAAAUUAGCUGGGCAUGGUGGUGUGUUCCUGUAAUCAAUCCCAGCUACUCUAGAGGGUGAGGCAUCAGAAUUACUUGAACCCAGUAGGCAGAGGUUGCAGUGAGCCAAGAUGGUGCCAGUGUACUCCAGCCUGGGCAAUAGAGUGAGACCCUGUCUCU